GGCCCUCCUACUACCUGCACCGGCCUGGUGCUGAGCCAUGGGUGGGGCAAGAACGAACUUCUAGGUCUCGGCUCCACGAAGCUCAAUGUACGAUCGAUGCAGGCAGAGGGAAGAGAACAGCAGUGAAACCUUCGUUAUUGAUUGAUUUGACGGAAUAUCUUUUUCCAGGGUCCAUUUUUUUUUUUUUUGCAAAAUAGACAUCGUACCAUUUUCGUUUGUAUUUGUCAAAUAUUGUCCAAUCAUAAACUAACUGGGCUCAAAAAAUUCGUCUCGCAAAUUACAGAUAAAUUGUGUAACUAUUUAUUUAUUUUAUCUACAUUUAAUAUUUUAUGUACGUGCCACAAGAUUUGAUAUGACGAAAAAACUAAAAAAUUUUGCAAUUUUUUUUAAACUAAACAAGGCCUUACACAGGGAAACAGUGCACUGAACUCGUUCAGAAGUUCAGAGUGACUACACACGUUGGCCCGAAUCUCAAAGCACCUGACUUGUAAAAGGUGAUGAAUUGUGGGCUACAGACCCAUUCGCCGGGGUAUGUAUCCAAGUCUCCAAGUCUCUUCUCUCCCUAGCUCUGCUAUUGUUUCGUUCUUUGAUUUCUUGUCCAGCGCGUCCGUACCACCUGGAUCUGAUGAAUUAUUUCGGGCAGAUCAUCUGCUGUCUGGAUAAACUGGUUAUUUGACUAUCCUGAACGUCUGUUGUCUGCUGUCUUGUCCUGAUUAUUUCUAAUAGAUCGUCUGCUGUCUGAAUAAACUGGUUAUUUGACUGUCCUGAUUAUUUUUAGUAGACCGUGUGCUGUCUGCUGUCUGAAUAAACUGGUUAUUUCACUGUCCUGAUUAUUUCUAGUAGAUCGUCUGUUGUCUGCUGUCUAAAUAAGUUGGUUAUUUGACUGUCCUGAUUAUCUGUUGUCUGCUGUCUGAAUAAGCUGGUUAUUUGGCUGUCCUAAUUAUUUCUAGUAGAUCGUCUAUUCUGAAUAAGCUGGUUAUUUGAUUAUCCUGAUUAUUUCUAGUAGAUCGUCUGUUGCCUGUUGUCCACUGUGUGAAUAAGCUGAUUAUUUGACUGUUCUGGUUAUUUCUAGUAGAUCAUCUGUUGUCCGAAUAGGCUGGUUGUUAAACUGUCCUGAUUAUUCCUAGUAGAUCAUCUAGGGGGUAUUUAGUUGGGCUCCUAAGCUGGCUUUUAGCUUGGUUGGGCCAGAUUUAUGUUGUUUGGUUCCCAGGCCAUCCAAUUGGCCACCCGUACGUCUGGAGCUAGACCCGGAAAGAAACAUC
RNAcentral lists this long non-coding RNA (1262 nucleotides) under Sorghum bicolor (sorghum). Its description in RNAcentral is "long non-coding RNA (SBIC_LNC013551)". Lineage: Eukaryota; Viridiplantae; Streptophyta; Magnoliopsida; Poales; Poaceae. The record is from RNAcentral.